This 305-nucleotide ribosomal RNA is filed under the name Rallicola columbiana. RNAcentral describes it as "partial 12S ribosomal RNA". The record is from RNAcentral. Lineage: Eukaryota; Metazoa; Arthropoda; Insecta; Psocodea; Philopteridae.
UCUCUCUUAAGAAGGUCUAAUAGAGUAAGGGAAAACCUUGAMAAAAAACCAUUGUGGCGGUCUUUAACCAACCUAGAGAAGCAUGUAAUGUAAAUGAAAAUACCCAAAAAACCUUUCUUCAAUUCGAACUAAACAUUUUGUACACCGCUGUCUGAAAGUUGAAUAAAAUUCUGUCAACUCAAUUCACAAUAAGAGGAAAUAAGGCAAGUAAAGGUGCAGAUUAUAUUGAGAGAAAUUAUGUGCCUCUAUAAUAAUUCUGGAUGUUAAGUCUGAAACUCUGACAAAAAAGGAAUUUAAUUGUAAAA